AGAGUUUGAUCCUGGCUCAGAAUCAACGCUGGCGGCGCGCUUAACACAUGCAAGUCGCACGAGAAAGAGGAGCAAUCCUUAAGUAAAGUGGCGUACGGGUGAGUAACACGUGGAUUAUCUACCUUUUAGUGGGGAAUACCCUUGGGAAACCGGGGACAAUACCGCAUAAGCCCGCGAGGGGAAAGCAGCAAUGCGCUGAA
Molecule: ribosomal RNA, 200 nt
Filed under: uncultured bacterium
Lineage: Bacteria
Description: partial 16S ribosomal RNA
Rfam family: Bacterial small subunit ribosomal RNA
Source: RNAcentral